ACAAAACCUAAGUUUAUUUUCUAUAAGAGGAAGCAGAUUGUGAAAAAAAGGGAGGAGGAAAGCAGAUAUCAAAGGAAAAAGUUCCUCUUCCUCUCCAUUCAUCAUCUAUCCGCUAAACACCCUCUAACCGCCUUUGUAUCAACAAAACCCUCACCGUCUUCUCUUCCGCUAACCUCCGCUUCCCUUCAUCUGUCAAAACCCAGCCGGAAACCACCCAUACACAAACUCCCGGCCGCGCAUCACUUCCUAACAGGCAACGAUAAUCCGAUAUCCGCCGGGUCUGUCUUCCUCCGUCGUUGCUUCUGA
This is a non-coding RNA of Vicia faba (fava bean), 306 nucleotides long. The record is from the annotation of a GenBank genome assembly. Lineage: Eukaryota; Viridiplantae; Streptophyta; Magnoliopsida; Fabales; Fabaceae.